This 45-nucleotide non-coding RNA is filed under the name Trichobilharzia regenti. The record is from RNAcentral. Lineage: Eukaryota; Metazoa; Platyhelminthes; Trematoda; Strigeidida; Schistosomatidae.
AUUCAGUUGAUGCGUCCCAAAUAGGACGAAAUGAGCAUCAUGGAU